AGGAAUAUUGGUCAAUGGACGAGAGUCUGAACCAGCCAAGUAGCGUGAAGGAUGACUGCCCUAUGGGUUGUAAACUUCUUUUAUACGGGAAUAAAGUGAGGCACGUGUGCCUUUUUGUAUGUACCGUAUGAAUAAGGAUCGGCUAACUCCGUGCCAGCAGCCGCGGUAAUACGGAGGAUCCGAGCGUUAUCCGGAUUUAUUGGGUUUAAAGGGAGCGUAGGCGGACGCUUAAGUCAGUUGUGAAAGUUUGCGGCUCAACCGUAAAAUUGCAGUUGAUACUGGGUGUCUUGAGUACAGUAGAGGCAGGCGGAAUUCGUGGUGUAGCGGUGAAAUGCUUAGAUAUCACGAAGAACUCCGAUUGCGAAGGCAGCUUGCUGGACUGUAACUGACGCUGAUGCUCGAAAGUGUGGGUAUCAAACAGGAUUAGAUACCCUGGUAGUCCACACAGUAAACGAUGAAUACUCGCUGUUUGCGAUAUACAGUAAGCGGCCAAGCGAAAGCGUUAAGUAUUCCACCUGGGGAGUACGCCGGCAACGGUGAAACUCAAAGGAAUUGACGGGGGCCCGCACAAGCGGAGGAACAUGUGGUUUAAUUCGAUGAUACGCGAGGAACCUUACCCGGGCUUGAAUUGCAACUGAAUGAUGUGGAGACAUGUCAGCCGCAAGGCAGUUGUGAAGGUGCUGCAUGGUUGUCGUCAGCUCGUGCCGUGAGGUGUCGGCUUAAGUGCCAUAACGAGCGCAACCCUUGUUGUCAGUUACUAACAGGUUCCGCUGAGGACUCUGACAAGACUGCCAUCGUAAGAUGUGAGGAAGGUGGGGAUGACGUCAAAUCAGCACGGCCCUUACGUCCGGGGCUACACACGUGUUACAAUGGGGGGUACAGAGGGCCGCUACCACGCGAGUGGAUGCCAAUCCCCAAAACCUCUCUCAGUUCGGACUGGAGUCUGCAACCCGACUCCACGAAGCUGGAUUCGCUAGUAAUCGCGCAUCAGCCACGGCGCGGUGAAUACGUUCCCG
RNAcentral lists this ribosomal RNA (1016 nucleotides) under uncultured bacterium. Its description in RNAcentral is "bacterial SSU rRNA". It matches the Rfam family "Bacterial small subunit ribosomal RNA", at positions 357 to 1376 of the family's 1533-position model. The record is from RNAcentral.